Molecule: long non-coding RNA, 1663 nt
Organism: Oreochromis niloticus (Nile tilapia)
Lineage: Eukaryota; Metazoa; Chordata; Actinopteri; Cichliformes; Cichlidae
Source: Ensembl
GAGCCCAGAUUGGACAUUAACACUCAGCUAAAGAUUAAUUAAUUAAUCACUUACUUCUUAAAGUACAAGAGCAAGUAAACUAAACAGUACUCUGGUCCUGCACUGGUUUAAACUCUAACAACUUAACAGAGUGAACCCUUUUAUAGGCCUGGGCACUCAUCGUGAUGGUAGAGGAGAAACAGCUGUCACAUCAUUUUUAUCAUUAUUAUUAUUAUUAUUAUUAUUAUUAUUAUUAUUAUUAUUAUUAUUAUUAUCAUCAUCAUUAUGAAAAAGCAUCUGAAGCACUGUUAAAAUGGUUUCCCACUGCCUUUCAGAGGACGGUUUAGGAAUGUGACACUGCUGCACUCUAGACUCUCUUAUAUGAUCCACACUGAUUUGACUGCAAACUGUCAAAUCUAAAAGACUUUAUACCUUUUAAUUUCCUAUAGAGGAGCAGAGCUCCAAGCAGAACUAGAACCAGAAGAAUCACAGAAACCAGACCGGCUAUCAUGGCAACGAUGGAGGAGGAGGAGGAAAGAGUAGGAGAUGCUGUCCCAGUACACGGACAUGCAGAAGUAUCGGGAGAGUUUACAGGAGAGGUGCAGGCUGUGGUGAGGAUGAAGAUGGUUCAGUCAGUUCAUUAUCAGGUCAGCAGGAAGUGCAGGAAUCUCCAGGAUCACACCUUUAUCUAACCAACAGAAACACAAACAGAGCAUGACACAAUGUCUUUGGAAAAACAGUAAUGUUACAUCCAACCUCUGGAAACAUCUGCACAGAGACACCGCUGGAACAUCUCCCUGUCUCUACCUGAAACACUGAUGGACAAUUUAUCACUCUGCUGUCCAGAUGGGUUCUCACAGAAGUAACUUCCAUCAGAGGAGAUGGAGCGAUCCAGAACACAGGAGGAACCAAGAAGCCUCCCAAAGCCUGCAGCUGCUCCACAGUCCUCAGUGAGUCCUCCUCUGGUCCUCUUCACUGUCCAUCCAUCAGCUGUCUGUCCAUCAUCAACACAACUCAGAGACACUGAAGAACUGCCGAAGGUUUGGACUGACUGACAAAGACACUGGAGGACACACACACACACACACAGAGUAAAUGUAUUUGUGUUCUUGUUGGAGUCUCACUGAUUGUUUUCACUUCCAUCAACUCACCUGCAGAAACAGUCGGUGCAGACAGCAGCAGCACACACACACCUGCAACAGGAGGACAGAGGUCACUAAGUAAAGCAGGACUCAUAUGGAUUGCAUAAAUGGUGGUAAAUGGCAGCAUGGUGGUGCAGUGGUUAACACUGUUGCCUCACAGAAGGUCUUGAGGUAAAUAGCAUGCAGAACAAAUGCCACACCAAACGAGGAUGUUGAGGUAAUGAUACACCUGCUCGGUCUGUGGUUUUUUGUCAGACUUGGCGACCACAGCAUUGUUUUUUUAAGUUUUAUGGUCCAAAGUUUUGACACAUAGAAUAAGUGCUGGGAUAUUUUUGCUUCAUAUAUCUAAAACUUUUCAAGAUGUGCUUUUUUUGAUAAAUGGCCCAUCUACACUUUUUCAGGGUUUGUUUCACACUCAAAUAUUUUUAAAAAGUGCCUGAGUGUUGGCUUGUUAAAAUACAUGAGAAAAAAAUCCAGCCAUGUUGUAAAGUGUAUUUGAACGCACACAAAUAAAAACCUGCAAAAUGCAAACCCCAAAUAGU